UACGGAGGAUGCGAGCGUUAUCCGGAUUUAUUGGGUUUAAAGGGUGCGUAGGCGGACUGUUAAGUCAGCGGUAAAAGCCCGGGGCUCAACCCCGGCGAGCCGUUGAAACUGGCUGUCUUGAGAUGUCGAGAGGUAUGCGGAAUGCGCAGUGUAGCGGUGAAAUGCUUAGAUAUUGCGCAGAACUCCGAUUGCGAAGGCAGCCUGCCGCAGCGUUACUGACGCUGAAGCUCGAAAGCGCGGGUAUCGAACAGG
RNAcentral lists this ribosomal RNA (252 nucleotides) under uncultured Bacteroidales bacterium. Its description in RNAcentral is "partial 16S ribosomal RNA". It matches the Rfam family "Bacterial small subunit ribosomal RNA", at positions 524 to 776 of the family's 1533-position model. The record is from RNAcentral. Lineage: Bacteria; Pseudomonadati; Bacteroidota; Bacteroidia; Bacteroidales.